UACAGAGGUCCCGAGCGUUGUUCGGAUUCACUGGGCGUAAAGGGUGCGUAGGUGGUUAGGUAAGUCCGAUGUGAAAUCUCCAGGCUCAACCUGGAAAUGGCAUUGGAUACUAUUUAGCUUGAGGAGUGGAGGGGGGACUGGAAUUCUCGGUGUAGCAGUGAAAUGCGUAGAUAUCGAGAGGAACACCAGUGGCGAAGGCAGGUCUCUGGGCCACUACUGACGCUGAGAAGCGAAAGCAUGGGGAGCGAACAGG
RNAcentral lists this ribosomal RNA (253 nucleotides) under uncultured bacterium. Its description in RNAcentral is "partial 16S ribosomal RNA". It matches the Rfam family "Bacterial small subunit ribosomal RNA", at positions 524 to 776 of the family's 1533-position model. The record is from RNAcentral.